AAGGCUCUCACUAGGUGGCUAAAAUUUAAGUCCACUAGACGGCGCGGGUGUCUUUUUAGAAAACAUAUUCGGCCAUUAUUUAACGAGACACUGAUCGAGAAGGUAUGCGUUAGGAUGUGACAUGUGGUAUACUUUUUCCUGACAUUUUUCGUCGUACAAAAUGGUAACAUGUCCUUCAGUUUAUACUUGGCAAUCCGGCCAAUUCCAUCUGAUCCCGUGCCUGAAACUGCUGUACAUUUUCUCAAAAUGUCGUCUUUUGCCGUAUGUACCGGCUGUACGUUUCGUCACAUGCUGAAAUACUUCAGAACAGUAAAGCCUGGAGCCUGGUGAGGUCUGAGCUUCUUCAUUGCAGUCCCAUGUGCACAUUGAUUUGUUACAACCAACUGGCGAAAGGUGUACCUCUUGCAGGCUUACUACCUGUACUGGUUGUAGUUUUCGUCACAUGCAAAGAACAAUUUCAAGUAAUUAAGUUUGUAAACUUUUUUUUUACAGUAAGGCUACACAUUUGUUGAUGACAAGCUCUUUGCUUUAUUUCUGUUGACUUUUCAGUUAUAAGGCAAUUUCAGAAGCUUGCCAACUGUAGAUUUCUUUGUUACAUUAAAAUUUUUUUUAA
Daphnia pulex (common water flea) is the source of this 613-nucleotide long non-coding RNA. RefSeq lists it as uncharacterized. The transcript has 3 exons. The record is from RefSeq and is a predicted model, not a curated record. NCBI's taxonomy places the organism in Eukaryota, Metazoa, Arthropoda, Branchiopoda, Diplostraca, Daphniidae.